This 452-nucleotide unclassified non-coding RNA is filed under the name Fusarium metavorans. RNAcentral's name for it is "sequence contains 18S rRNA gene, ITS1, 5.8S rRNA gene, ITS2, 28S rRNA gene". The stretch from base 125 to 278 matches the Rfam family "5.8S ribosomal RNA". The record is from RNAcentral. Lineage: Eukaryota; Fungi; Ascomycota; Sordariomycetes; Hypocreales; Nectriaceae.
AACAUACCUAAACGUUGCCUCGGCGGGAACAGACGGCCCCGUGAAAACGGGCCGCCCCCGCCAGAGGACCCCCUAACUCUGUUUCUAUAAUGUUUCUUCUGAGUAAAACAAGCAAAUAAAUCAAAACUUUCAACAACGGAUCUCUUGGCUCUGGCAUCGAUGAAGAACGCAGCGAAAUGCGAUAAGUAAUGUGAAUUGCAGAAUUCAGUGAAUCAUCGAAUCUUUGAACGCACAUUGCGCCCGCCAGUAUUCUGGCGGGCAUGCCUGUUCGAGCGUCAUUACAACCCUCAGGCCCCCGGGCCUGGCGUUGGGGAUCGGCGGAGGCCCUCCGUGGGCACACGCCGUCCCCCAAAUACAGUGGCGGUCCCGCCGCAGCUUCCAUCGCGUAGUAGCUAACACCUCGCGACUGGAGAGCGGCGCGGCCACGCCGUAAAACCCCCAACUCUUCUGAA